GUGGUCAAGCUAGUAAGGGCGGACGGAGGAUGCCUAGGCGCCGGGAAGCGACGAAGGACGUGGCAAGCUGCGAAAAGCCGCGGGGAGCCGCAAGCAGGCCGAGAGCCGCGGAUAUCCGAAUGGGGGAACCUGGGCGGGGUCAUGCCCGCUCGUGGCUGGCUGAAUAGAUAGGCUAGCGCACGCGAACCGAGGGAACUGAAACAUCUCAGUACCUCGAGGACAAGAAAUCAAGCGAGAUGGCCCGAGUAGCGGCGAGCGAAAGGGCUGGAGCCUAAACCAGGGUCGAGCGAUCGGCCCUGGGGUUGCGGGGCUCGUACGGGGGCAACCCGGGGAGUCAGAAAGUCAGCCGCCAGUCGAAGGCCGUGGGAGCGGCCACCACAGAGGGUGACAGUCCCGUAGACGAAGGCGAGCUGGCCUCCCUGGUACGAGUACCCAAGUACCACGGGGCACGUGCAAUCCCGUGGGAAUCCGGGGGGACCACCCUCCAAGGCUAAACAUUCCCCGGCGACCGAUAGUGAACGAGUACCGUGAGGGAAAGGCGAAAAGAACCCCGGUGAGGGGAGUGAAAGAGAACCUGAAACCGUCUGCCUACAAGCGGUGGGAGGGCAAUACGCGGGGGGAGACUCCCGUGGAGGCCUGACCGCGUGCCUUUUGCAUAAUGAGCCGGCGAGUAACGGGGUGUGGCGAGGUUAAGGGCGGGAGGCCCGGAGCCGGAGCGAAAGCGAGUCCGAACAGGGCGGAAAGUCGCACACCGUUGACCCGAAGCCGAGUGAGCUACCCCUGGCCAGGGUGAAGCCGCUGUAAGAGGCGGUGGAGGCCCGAACCGGUGUUGGUUGAAAACAGCUCGGAUGAGCUGGGGGUGGGAGUGAAAGGCUAAUCAAACUCGGAGAUAGCUGGUUCUCCCCGAAAUAGCUUUAGGGCUAGCCUCGGACGUGAGGGCGGGUGGUAGAGCACUGAAUGGGCUAGGGGCCCGACCAGGUUACCAACCCCAAUCAAACUGCGAAGGCCCGUUCAUCGAAGUCCGGGAGUCAGACGACGUGGGAUAAGCUGCGUGGUCGAGAGGGCAACAACCCAGAUCGUCAGCUAAGGUCCCGAAGUGAGUGCUGAGUGGGAAACGAUGUGGCGGCGCGCAGACAGCCAGGAGGUUGGCUUAGAGGCAGCCAUCCUUUAAAGAGUGCGUAACAGCUCACUGGUCAAGCGGCGCUGCGCGGACAAUUCAACGGGGCUAAGCACUCCACCGACGCUGCGGCUUGCGGAGGGAGACCUCCGGAGGGGUAGGGGAGCAUUCCGCGCUAGGGAGAAGGCCGACCGCGAGGACGGCUGGACGAGGCGGAAGCGAGAAUGCCGGCACGAGUAGCGAGAACGCAGGUGAAAACCCUGCGCGCCGAAAGCCCAAGGGUUCCUGGGGAAGGUCAAUCCGCCCAGGGUUAGGCGGCCCCUAAGCGGAGGCCGAGAGGCGUACGCGAAGGACAACAGGUGAACAGUCCUGUUCCGCGGGUUGGGCGUUUGAGCGAUGGGGGGACGGAGGAGGCUAAGCACCGCCGGGGGGUGGAAAUCCCGGUCCAAGUGCGUAGGGUGUCGCUGCAGGAAAAUCCGCAGUGGCGCGGGCGAGCCGCAAGCCUGAAACACGAUGGGGAGCCCUUCGGGGCACAAACGGGCUGAGGCCAGACUUCCCAGAAAAACCUCUAGCGAGUCCGACCGGCGACCGUACCGGAAACCGACACAGGUGGGCGAGGAGAAGAUCCACAGGCGCUCGGGAGAACUCUCGCGAAGGAACUAGGCAAACUAACCCCGUAACUUCGGGAGAAGGGGUGCUCCGGUAGGGUGCUGAGCCCGAGGGAGCCACAGUAAAGAGGGCCAAGCGACUGUUUACUAAAAACACAGGGCUCUGCAAACUCCGAAGAGGAGGUAUAGGGCCUGACGCCUGCCCGGUGCCGGAAGGUUAAGGGGAGAUGUCAGCCGCAAGGCGAAGCAUUGAACCAAAGCCCCGGUAAACGGCGGCCGUAACUAUAACGGUCCUAAGGUAGCGAAAUUCCUUGUCGGGUAAGUUCCGACCUGCACGAAUGGCGUAACGACUUGGCCGCUGUCUCCGCGAGAGACCACCCGGUGAAACUGUAGCGCCAGUGAAGAUGCUGGCUACCCGCGACUAGACGGAAAGACCCCGUGAACCUUUACUGUACCUUGGCCUGGGACUUUGGUGGAGUCUGUGCAGGAUAGGUGGGAGGCUGCGAAGCCGGGUCGCUAGACUCGGUGGAGCCGACGGUGAGAUACCACCCUGACUGUGCUGGAGUUCUAACCGAGCCCCCUGAGCGGGGGUGGGGACAGGGCCAGGAGGGCAGUUUGACUGGGGCGGUCGCCUCCUAAAGAGUAACGGAGGCGCUCGAAGGUGGGCUCAGCACGGUUGGAAAUCGUGCGGUGAGUGUAAGGGCAGAAGCCCGCUUGACUGCGAGACGGACAGGUCGAGCAGGAGCGAAAGCUGGACCUAGUGAUCCGGUGGUGCUGCGUGGAAGGGCCAUCGCUCAACGGAUAAAAGGUACUCCGGGGAUAACAGGCUGAUCUUGCCCAAGAGUUCACAUCGACGGCAAGGUUUGGCACCUCGAUGUCGGCUCAUCGCAUCCUGGGGCUGGAGCAGGUCCCAAGGGUUGGGCUGUUCGCCCAUUAAAGCGGUACGUGAGCUGGGUUUAGAACGUCGUGAGACAGUUCGGUCCCUAUCUGUCGCGGGCGGAGGAGAGUUGACGGGAGCUGCCCCUAGUACGAGAGGACCGGGGUGGACGGACCUCUAGUGAGCGAGUUGUGGCGCCAGCCGCAGUGCUCGGUAGCUAAGUCCGGCAGGGAGAAGCGCUGAAGGCAUCUAAGCGCGAAACCCGCCUGAAGAUGAGCUCUCCCGGACGCAAGUCCCGGAAGGCCCCUGGGAGAUGACCAGGUAGAUAGGCCGGAGGUGGACGCGCCGUGAGGCGUGGAGCUGACCGGUACUAAUCGGCCGAGCGGCUUGACCAC
RNAcentral lists this ribosomal RNA (2997 nucleotides) under Candidatus Rokuibacteriota bacterium. RNAcentral describes it as "bacterial LSU rRNA". It matches the Rfam family "Bacterial large subunit ribosomal RNA". The record is from RNAcentral. Lineage: Bacteria; Candidatus Rokuibacteriota.